GCUAAUACAUGCUGAAAACCUCAACUUCGGAAGGGGUGUAUUUAUUAGAUAAAAAGCCAAUGCCCUUCGGGGCUUCCUGGUGAUUCAUAAUAACUUAACGAAUCGCAUGGCCUUGCGCCGGCGAUGGUUCAUUCAAAUUUCUGCCCUAUCAACUUUCGAUUGUUGGGUAGUGGCCAACAAUGGUGUUUACGGGUAACGGGGAAUUAGGGUUCUAUUCCGGAGAGGGAGCCUGAGAAACGGCUACCACAUCCAAGGAAGGCAGCAGGCGCGCAAAUUAUCCAAUUCCGACACGGAGAGAUAGUGACAAUAAAUACUGAUACAGGGCUCUUUUGGGUCUUGUAAUUGGAAUGAGUACAAUUUAAAUCCCUUAACGAGGAACAAUUGGAGGGCAAGUCUGGUGACGUUUCGGUCCAGGAGGGUUUCGACCCUCGCUGCUGACGCCAGAGAUAGUGGGGUUCCCUGGGAACUAUGCCCACUAGUCGAGCAUUCACGAUGUGAUGGGCGAAUGCCGGCGAGACAACCUGGAUCGGGGAAGGCUAAUGCUCGUAUGAGUGAUGCUGAUCCCGAGCGGAGUCCCCGGGGAGUGAUCCUCGGACGACCCGUGUAGAGCGCGCCAAGGUGUCGGCUGCUCUUGUCAUCGUCUCAUCGCUGAGAGACGUGGGAAGACAGCUUGAGGGACGUGCCAAUCCCAUCCGAAAGGAUGCGUUCACACCCGAGCACCCGUCAUGCAACGGUUAAACGGCUUAUUUCCUCUCCUGGGAAAUAGGUGG
This 770-nucleotide ribosomal RNA is filed under the name Thamnolia vermicularis. Its description in RNAcentral is "bacterial SSU rRNA". The stretch from base 1 to 420 matches the Rfam family "Eukaryotic small subunit ribosomal RNA", at positions 163 to 600 of the family's 1831-position model. The record is from RNAcentral. Lineage: Eukaryota; Fungi; Ascomycota; Lecanoromycetes; Pertusariales; Icmadophilaceae.